This 355-nucleotide long non-coding RNA is filed under the name Homo sapiens (human). RNAcentral's name for it is "non-protein coding lnc-TMEM161A-2:1". The record is from RNAcentral. Lineage: Eukaryota; Metazoa; Chordata; Mammalia; Primates; Hominidae.
CCCGGGGGCCCCGGCGACUUUCCUAAGACCUUCCCCUAUCCCUUGCUCCUCGCCCGGUCCCUGGCAGAGCCUCUGCGGCCUGGGCCCGCCCUGCGCCGGCUGCCCUUGGCCGACGGCUGGCCCCGGUAGGAGAUCACCCGGUGGCACCAGCCCAGAGCGCUCGCCAGGUACGGCGAGGGCACGUGGGGACCCCACCUCCCUCCAGGCCUCUUCAGAGAAGACCCAACAGUGACGCCCCCCUCCGCGGUGGGGGCUUGGAGGUGGGCGGCUGGACUCAAUCCACCCUGGGGGGCUCCUUUCCUUCUUCCUAUUUGUGUGUAUAUCCACAAAUAAAACGCGCGUGGCGUCCGUGGAC